AUUGAACGCUGGCGGCAGGCCUAACACAUGCAAGUCGAGCGGUAGAGAGAAGCUUGCUUCUCUUGAGAGCGGCGGACGGGUGAGUAAUGCCUAGGAAUCUGCCUAGUGGUGGGGGAUAACGUUCGGAAACGGACGCUAAUACCGCAUACGUCCUACGGGAGAAAGCGGGGGACCUUCGGGCCUCGCGCCAUUAGAUGAGC
Molecule: ribosomal RNA, 200 nt
Filed under: uncultured bacterium
Lineage: Bacteria
Description: partial 16S ribosomal RNA
Rfam family: Bacterial small subunit ribosomal RNA
Source: RNAcentral